RNAcentral lists this ribosomal RNA (500 nucleotides) under Mycobacterium sp. N1730C. Its description in RNAcentral is "bacterial SSU rRNA". It matches the Rfam family "Bacterial small subunit ribosomal RNA", at positions 1 to 522 of the family's 1533-position model. Lineage: Bacteria; Bacillati; Actinomycetota; Actinomycetes; Mycobacteriales; Mycobacteriaceae. The record is from RNAcentral.
UGGAGAGUUUGAUCCUGGCUCAGGACGAACGCUGGCGGCGUGCUUAACACAUGCAAGUCGAACGGAAAGGCCCUUCGGGGUACUCGAGUGGCGAACGGGUGAGUAACACGUGGGUGAUCUGCCCUGCACUUUGGGAUAAGCCUGGGAAACUGGGUCUAAUACCGAAUAUGACCGCGCGUUUCAUGGCGUGUGGUGGAAAGCUUUUGCGGUGUGGGAUGGGCCCGCGGCCUAUCAGCUUGUUGGUGGGGUAAUGGCCUACCAAGGCGACGACGGGUAGCCGGCCUGAGAGGGUGUCCGGCCACACUGGGACUGAGAUACGGCCCAGACUCCUACGGGAGGCAGCAGUGGGGAAUAUUGCACAAUGGGCGCAAGCCUGAUGCAGCGACGCCGCGUGAGGGAUGACGGCCUUCGGGUUGUAAACCUCUUUCGCCAGGGACGAAGCGCAAGUGACGGUACCUGGAGAAGAAGCACCGGCCAACUACGUGCCAGCAGCCGCGGUA